AGUAGGUUUCACCAUCUGAGGAUGUUCAGGCAAACAGAACGUCAACAGAGUGAUGUGUGCAGUUCAGAGUUUCUGCCCUUAAAAGAAGACCGUGCUCUACUUCCGCUCUCCUCCCUCUUUGGGUUGGAAUAUGGAUGUGGAGCGGAUGACCAACUCUGAUCAUACAGACAAGGACAACGCCUUCAAGAGCAACAAAAUAGAAGAAACCUGGGCACCUUUUUCAGUCUCACAGAGCACUCUUAACCUCCUGGACUACCCUCAACCCAGAUGUUUUUCUUCUCAGGUCUGUGAACUCAGCCUGAGAAUGACACCACCGGCCUCCACAGUUCUGAGGAUUUUGAACAUGGACUGACCAUGCUAUCAGCAUCUCAGUCUCCAGCUUGCAGAUGGCUUGCCAUGGGACUUCUCAGCCUCCAUAAUUAUAUGAAGACACAGAGGCUCCAGGAGAACACGAGUGCUGGCCAAGACCACACACCCCAUAAACCACGAAGCUACAAUCUACACCCUGGGUCUCACUCUCCAGAGCCCGGCUGCCUCCCUCCUGGCUUCGGGCUUCAAGUUUGUAGCUUGGUUUUGUCAUUUAUUUGCUGAGCUCAAAUCCUGGCUUACUUAACCUCUCUAACUGCCCAUUUCCUCAUCUGGAAAAUGAGGCUAAUGAUAACACAGACCUUUUAAGUUGUUGUGAGGAUCACUAGAUAAAGUCUAUAAACUACUCAGCAGAAUGGCUAGUGCAGAGUAAGCCUCAAUCAAUGUUAUUACUACUUUUUAUUAUGUUUGGUAGCGUUGUCUUUUCUCUGUAUACACCCGCUCUUUGGUCAGGCUCACCUACACACAUGGCUCCCAGCAGCACCUACAUGUGAGAAAGUCCCACCCUCCAUAGCCAGCCCAGACUUCUCUACUGAGUGCUAGGUCCAUAUUCCCGGUCACUGGCUAGAUUUCCUCCCCUUUGAUAUUCCAUGCACACCUCAAAUGUGACAAAACUCACGGCACAUCUCACCUGCAUCCUCCUGUAAAUCUACCUCUUCUCUGACUGCCCUAUGCUUGUGACUGGCAGGUCCCCCUGAGUCAUAAACUUGGGCUUUGUCCUUGAUUCCCAUGACUCCCUGGUUUCACUGUUUCAGCAACAUUUGAUCAGUUACUCAAUCCUUCCUCCUAAACAUCUCUCUGAGUCAUCCACCCUCUCCUGGAUAUUGCCUUUGUCACUGCUGAGUCUGUCUUGAUUUAAAUUUUUGAUAUUUUACUAAAAAAUUUUUUUUGAUAUUUCGUUCAUCAUGUAUUUUGUGCACACAUUUUUAUUUCUAAAAAUAUUGCAUUAAAAGAGUAUUUAAUAUUAAUAACUUGGGGUUUUGGCACUUCCUUAAAUUUUACAUCAGAGAUGAGUACCUCACUUGCCUUAAUUUAGUCUUGGCCCUGCUACCAAUUUUU
Piliocolobus tephrosceles (Ugandan red Colobus) is the source of this 1425-nucleotide long non-coding RNA. RefSeq lists it as uncharacterized. The record is from RefSeq and is a predicted model, not a curated record. The transcript is spliced from 3 exons. Lineage: Eukaryota; Metazoa; Chordata; Mammalia; Primates; Cercopithecidae.